UCUCCAUGUGUUGUGGAAGGGACCUGU
RNAcentral lists this non-coding RNA (27 nucleotides) under Homo sapiens (human). The record is from RNAcentral. Lineage: Eukaryota; Metazoa; Chordata; Mammalia; Primates; Hominidae.